GACGAACGCUGGCGGCGUGCUUAACACAUGCAAGUCGAACGGAAAGGCCCUGCUUUUGUGGGGUGCUCGAGUGGCGAACAGGUGAGUAACACGUGAGUAACCUGCCCUUGACUUUGGGAUAACUUCAGGAAACUGGGGCUAAUACCGGAUAGGAGCUCCUGCUGCAUGGUGGGGGUUGGAAAGUUUCGGCGGUUGGGGAUGGACUCGCGGCUUAUCAGCUUGUUGGUGGGGUAGUGGCUUACCAAGGCUUUGACGGGUAGCCGGCCUGAGAGGGUGACCGGCCACAUUGGGACUGAGAUACGGCCCAGACUCCUACGGGAGGCAGCAGUGGGGAAUAUUGCACAAUGGGCGGAAGCCUGAUGCAGCAACGCCGCGUGCGGGAUGACGGCCUUCGGGUUGUAAACCGCUUUCGCCUGUGACGAAGCGUGAGUGACGGUAAUGGGUAAAGAAGCACCGGCUAACUACGUGCCAGCAGCCGCGGUGAUACGUAGGGUGCGAGCGUUGUCCGGAUUUAUUGGGCGUAAAGGGCUCGUAGGUGGUUGAUCGCGUCGGAAGUGUAAUCUUGGGGCUUAACCCUGAGCGUGCUUUCGAUACGGGUUGACUUGAGGAAGGUAGGGGAGAAUGGAAUUCCUGGUGGAGCGGUGGAAUGCGCAGAUAUCAGGAGGAACACCAGUGGCGAAGGCGGUUCUCUGGGCCUUUCCUGACGCUGAGGAGCGAAAGCGUGGGGAGCGAACAGGCUUAGAUACCCUGGUAGUCCACGCUGUAAACGGUGGGUACUAGGUGUGGGGUCCAUUCCACGGGUUCCGUGCCGUAGCUAACGCUUUAAGUACCCCGCCUGGGGAGUACGGCCGCAAGGCUAAAACUCAAAGGAAUUGACGGGGCCCCGCACAAGCGGCGGAGCAUGCGGAUUAAUUCGAUGCAACGCGUAGAACCUUACUUGGGUUUGACAUGGAUUGGGAGUGCUCAGAGAUGGGUGUGCCUCUUUUGGGGUCGGUUCACAGGUGGUGCAUGGCUGUCGUCAGCUCGUGUCGUGAGAUGUUGGGUUAAGUCCCGCAACGAGCGCAACCCUUGUUCACUGUUGCCAGCACGUUAUGGUGGGGACUCAGUGGAGACCGCCGGGGUCAACUCGGAGGAAGGUGGGGAUGACGUCAAGUCAUCAUGCCCCUUAUGUCCGGGGCUUCACGCAUGCUACAAUGGCUGGUACAGAGAGUGGCGAGCCUGUGAGGGUGAGCGAAUCUCGGAAAGCCGGUCUCAGUUCGGAUUGGGGUCUGCAACUCGACCUCAUGAAGUCGGAGUCGCUAGUAAUCGCAGAUCAGCAACGCUGCGGUGAAUAAGUUCCCGGG
RNAcentral lists this ribosomal RNA (1343 nucleotides) under uncultured bacterium. RNAcentral's name for it is "16S ribosomal RNA". It matches the Rfam family "Bacterial small subunit ribosomal RNA", at positions 28 to 1378 of the family's 1533-position model. The record is from RNAcentral.